CUAGCUGACGAGUCCCAAAUAGGACGAAACGCAUGUCCCGUAC
This 43-nucleotide non-coding RNA is filed under the name Schistosoma bovis. RNAcentral also lists the same sequence under 1 other name. Lineage: Eukaryota; Metazoa; Platyhelminthes; Trematoda; Strigeidida; Schistosomatidae. The record is from RNAcentral.